Molecule: ribosomal RNA, 465 nt
Filed under: Vreelandella stevensii
Lineage: Bacteria; Pseudomonadati; Pseudomonadota; Gammaproteobacteria; Oceanospirillales; Halomonadaceae
Description: partial 16S ribosomal RNA
Rfam family: Bacterial small subunit ribosomal RNA
Source: RNAcentral
CCUACGGGAGGCAGCAGUGGGGAAUAUUGGACAAUGGGGGGAACCCUGAUCCAGCCAUGCCGCGUGUGUGAAGAAGGCCCUCGGGUUUUAAAGCACUUUCAGUGAGGAAGAACGCCUGGUGGUUAAUACCCAUCAGGAAAGACAUCACUCACAGAAGAAGCACCGGCUAACUCCGUGCCAGCAGCCGCGGUAAUACGGAGGGUGCGAGCGUGAAUCGGAAUUACUGGGCGUAAAGCGCGCGUAGGUGGCUUGAUAAGCCGGUUGUGAAAGCCCCGGGCUCAACCUGGGAACGGCAUCCGGAGCUGUCAAGCUAGAGUGCAGGAGAGGAAGGUAGAAUUGCCGGUGUAGCGGUGAAAAGCGUAGAGAUCGGGAGGAAUACCAGUGGCGAAGGCGGCCUUCUGGACUGACACUGACACUGAGGUGCGAAAGCGUGGGUAGCAAACAGGAUUAGAUACCCGAGUAGUC